CCCCUCCGUAGAAAAUCCACAGCACGUUCGGAUCCGCCUUAUAUUCACUCCAGGUAAUUGUUUUAUUUUACUGCAAUUUUAGGUUUUUUCCUUUAAUUUUUCUAGGACCGACACCCUUUGAGAUGAAUUCGGGUCCCUUUGUUUGUUCCAGGGAUCCUGGACAAUCAACAUAUUCUUAUUAUGAUGCCAAACCUAAUACGGAGUAUUACAUAUACUCCAAAGACCAAGUUCAUGAUCAAGGUUAUUGUAGAUGAGAACUUGAAAGCUACAAGCAUAAGAACAAGUUCAUUUCGAUAUAUAUGGAGUAUCUUAGUCUUUGAUGUACUAGAAAUGUUUACCUUUAUAUGUAUAAAUUUUUGGAAUUUUGCUUAGGCUACGAAUUACGUAAUGACUUUAAUUAUUUAUUGGUAAAUUUUUGUGGAGUUAAUAAAAUCAACAUUUAUUUUCAUGAAA
Long non-coding RNA from Spinacia oleracea (spinach), 453 nucleotides. RefSeq lists it as uncharacterized. The transcript has 3 exons. The record is from RefSeq and is a predicted model, not a curated record. NCBI's taxonomy places the organism in Eukaryota, Viridiplantae, Streptophyta, Magnoliopsida, Caryophyllales, Amaranthaceae.